AUUGAACGCUGGAGGCAGGCCUAACACAUGCACGUCGAGCGGAGCGGCGGACGGGUGAGUAAUGCCUAGGACUCUGCCUGGUAGUGGGGGAUAACGUCCGGAAACGGGCGCUCAUACCGCAUACUCUCAGAGAAGCCUAGGUCCGAUUAGCUAGUUGGUGGGGGGAAGCCCUACCCGGGCGACGAUCACUAACUGGUCUGAGAGGAUGAUCAGUCACACUGGAACUGAGACACGGUCCAGACGCCUACGGGAGGCAGCAGUGGGAAAGAUUGGACAAGGGGCGAAAGCCUGAUCCAGCCAUGCCGCGUGUGUGAAGAAGGUCUUCGGAUUGUAAAGCACUUUAAGUUGGGAGGCGUUACCAACAGAAUAAGCACCGGCUAACUUCGUGCCAGCAGCCGCGGUAAUUC
This 407-nucleotide ribosomal RNA is filed under the name uncultured bacterium. RNAcentral's name for it is "partial 16S ribosomal RNA". It matches the Rfam family "Bacterial small subunit ribosomal RNA", at positions 30 to 526 of the family's 1533-position model. The record is from RNAcentral.